CAUCGACGCCGCGUGAGGGAUGAAGGUCUUCGGAUUGUAAACCUCUUUCAGUAGGGAAGAAGCGAAAGUGACGGUACCUAAAGAAGAAGCACCGGCUAACUAUGUGCCAGCAGCCGCGGUAAUACAUAGGGUGCAAGCGUUGUCCGGAAUUAUUGGGCGUAAAGAGCUCGUAGGUCGUUUGUCGCGUCGAUUGUGAAAAUCUGAGGCUCAACCUCAGACCUGCAGUCGAUACGGGCAAACUAGAGUGUGGUAGGGGAGACUGGAAUUCCUGGUGUAGCGGUGGAAUGCGCAGAUAUCAGGAGGAACACCAAUGGCGAAGGCAGGUCUCUGGGCCAUAACUGACACUGAGGAGCGAAAGUGCGGGGAGCGAACAGGAUUAGAUACCCUGGUAGUCCGCACCGUAAACGGUGGGCACUAGUUGUGGGAACCUUCCACGGUUUCCGCGACGCAGCAAACGCAUUAAGUGCCCCGCCUGGGGAGUACGAUCGCAAGAUUAAAACUCAAAGGAAUUGACGGGGCCCCGAACAAGCAGCGGAGCAUGCGGCUUAAUUCGACGCAAAGGCGAAGAAGCUUUAACAAGGGCUUGACAUAUAG
Molecule: ribosomal RNA, 594 nt
Filed under: uncultured bacterium
Lineage: Bacteria
Description: bacterial SSU rRNA
Rfam family: Bacterial small subunit ribosomal RNA
Source: RNAcentral